GGGGGUGUAGCUCAGUUGGCUAGAGCGAUAGGUUCGCAAUCUAUAGGUCAGGGGUUCGAUUCCCCUUACCUCCA
This 74-nucleotide transfer RNA is filed under the name Spirochaetia bacterium. Its description in RNAcentral is "tRNA-Ala". It matches the Rfam family "tRNA". From Rfam's summary of the family: Transfer RNA (tRNA) molecules are approximately 80 nucleotides in length. RNAcentral also lists the same sequence under 3 other names. The record is from RNAcentral. Lineage: Bacteria; Pseudomonadati; Spirochaetota; Spirochaetia.